Molecule: long non-coding RNA, 2639 nt
Organism: Girardinichthys multiradiatus
Lineage: Eukaryota; Metazoa; Chordata; Actinopteri; Cyprinodontiformes; Goodeidae
Exons: 2
Source: RefSeq, a predicted model, not a curated record
GCGUGGUUGUUCGUCCUGUGUGUGUCUGUGUUGCCCUGCGAUGGACUGGCGACCUGUCCAGGGUGUACCAUGCCUCCCACCCAUAGACUGCUGGAGAUAGGCACCAGCUUUCCUAUGACCCACUACGGAAGAAGAGGUAUAAAUAAAUUAUGACUGAAAUUAUGUGAUAGACCAGCUCAAACAUAUGCAGUGAAUAGGUAUCCAGCCCCUUUACUCUGCUACCCUUUGAUAAAAUCCAGUAUAAACAAGUUUCUUUCCAGGAUACAUGCAAAAUGCUAUGCAAUAUACUAGCACUGCACAUCCCCUUGAACACAGCAUCCACAGGGACAUAUGGCGAUGGCACCAUCAUGCUGGGGCAAGUUUUACAUAAAUGGUCUUGGCACAAUAAUUUUGCAUUGCUUAGGAACAUUUGCAUGCAUACAAAUAAUGUAUGCAGCAAAUUAUAGUACAAUUUUAAAGCAUUUAUUGUUACAUGUACAGGAAAACAGUACAAUUAAAUUGAGCAUUAGGCUGCAUGGUGAUUGUAAUCACUGCAGUUUUGUAGCAAGAAGUUCCUGGGUUUGAAUCUCAGCCAGGGCCUUUCUUGUGGUUUGCAUGUUCUCCCUGUGCUUUCCCAGGUUCUGUCCAGGUACUCCAGCUUUUACCCACACUUCAAAAACAUUCAUGUUAGGUCAACUGGUCUCUCCUAAAUGCUCUCAGGAGACAGCGUGUGUAUGCAUAGUUGUUAAUCCUAUGUGUCUCUGUGUUGUCACUGGGCGAGAGGCAGGGUGUUACCUGCCUCUCGCCCAGUGACUGCUGGAAACUUCGAUGGCCACAGAUCAAGCAUCUAGGUGUGCAGACUGUUUUUCCAAACACUUGUGAAGAAUAGGUUGCUCUUAGGAGCUCAGUGAAUUCCAGCGUGGUUCUGUAAUACAAUGCCACCUGUGCAACCAGCCCAGUUGUGAAAGUUUCUUACCCCUAAAUAUUUCACUGUCACUGGUAUUAUAAGAAAGUGUAAGUGAUUGGGAAAGACAGCAACUCAGCCACAGAAUGGUAUGCCACAUAAACCGAUGGAGCAGGGACAAUGGAAGCUGACAAACAAACAAAGUGCGCAGAGGUCAUUGACUUUCUGCAGAGUCCAUUGUUAUAGACCUCCAAACUUCAGGCCUUCAGAUUAGUUCAAGAACAGUGCGUAGAGAGCUUCAUGGAAUGGGGUUCCGUGGCCAAGCAGCUGCAUCCAAGCCAUACAUAAUUAAGUGCAAUGCAAAGCGUUGGAUGCAGGGAUAAUGUCGCGGCGUUGUUUAUCAGGAGCUGGGCUUGGCCCCUUAGUUCCAGUGAAAGGAACUCUAAAUACUUCAGAGUACCAAAAGAUUUUGGUCAAAUCUAUGCUCCCAACUUUGUGGGAACAGUUUGGAAAUGGCUCCUUCCUCUUCCAACAUGACUAUGCACCAGUGCACAAAGCAAGGUCCAUAAAAACAUGAAUGAGAGAGAUUGAUGUGGAUGAGCUUGACUGGCCUGCACGGAGUCCUGACCUCAACCAGAUAAAACACCUUUGGGAUUAAUUAGAGUGGAGAUUGAGAACCAGGCCUUCUCAUUCAUCAUCACUCUAUGACAUCACAACUGUCCCUCUGGAAGAAUGGUAAAAAAAUCCCCAUGAACACACUUCUAAACCUUGUGGACAGCCUUCCCAGAAGAGUUGAAGCUGUUAUAUGUGCAAAGGGUGAACCAACAUCACUAUGGAUUAAGAAUGGGAUGUUACUUAAGUUUAUAUGCAAGUCAAAACUGGGUUGUUGAACCCAUCUGCAGCCUGUAUUUAGCUCCAUGCAUCUUCCCAUCAACUCUGACCAGCUGUCCUGUCCCUGCUGAAAAACAACAUAACCACCAUGCCACAAUCAUACUUAAUAGGUUGUGUUAAUUCCUUCAGGGUGUUGGUUAUAAGUCACGCCUAAUUUUUUGCAGGCUAAAAAGUUUGAUUUUAGUGUUAUCUCACUAGCGAACCUUCUUCCACAUGUUUGCUGUGUUCCUUACAUUGUUAGGGGCAAGCAGUUAAAGAAUCUUUUCAUUCUUUCUAUUUUCAGAUGAUGGAUGAACAAAACUCUUGAUGAUGCUCAAAGAUUGAGAUAUUGUUUUAUAACCUAACCUUGCUUUAAACUUCAGCACUUGUUUGCAAUGUAUUAUAUUUAGGGGUGAAGAGGUACAAUAUGCUGAAUUAAGGGACUCCUCAUUUUUCAGAUUUUUUAUUUUAAAAACAUUUAUGAACUAUUUGUGUUGGUCUGUUAAUAAAAUUCCAUAAAUACGGCCCAGUAUUUGUAAAAUGAUAUUAUGUGAAUGAUUUAAAUUAUAGGUGGUUUAUGUUCUGUUCAUAUUUUGUGUUUGGCGUGAUAAUUCUAAUCUAGUUGGUUGAAAUAAAAGAAUUAUGGGUGUUUUGGGGCAACCCUCUGAUUAAAGAGGAGACACAUGAAGAUAUCUCAUACGGAUUUUACCACUACAUUUGUUUCAAGCUCCACUGUCAGUGGAAAUAUUAUUCCUUCAAUCAUUUGUAGAUUUCUCUUCAGAUUAAGUUUCAGCCAGCAACAAUCAAUUAUUGCAUUUAGUCUGAUAUAACUGUUCUGCUGUAAAUUUGCUGUCUUAAAGUCUUAAAACCUGAACUAUCUUUGGAA